AAACACCAAUACUCAAUGGACAAUACCCUUAUUCACAUUAUUAACCUAUGGACUAAAGCUUAAUACACUCUUUUACCCAAAACAAUUAACCAAUUCCGACGCCAACUCUUUUCUCCCUCUCUCUUUUCUUUCUUUCUUCUUUUUCUUUAUUUUCUCUCUUUCUCUUCUCUCACCACCAUGGAAAAACCUUACUACCUUCUUCAUUGAAACACCAUUUCUCUUUAUAAAACUAAGUAUUUUAGAGAACAAGCACCCUAGUCCACGGAUUUGAAGUUUAUUUCUCAAGGUAAAGCUUUUAAGUAGGGAGAUACCUCCAAAUCUAAAGGAAAAGAAAAGACUCAACCUUGAUUUCGUGGAUUUCCAGCUUUUAAAUCAAGGUUUGUGCUAUUUUCUCAUCUUUAGAUAUUUUUAGGAAUUUUUUUGCAUGAUUUUAUAUUUUUGUGCUCCAAGACUUGACUUUUAUGCUUUAAAUGAGUUCAUCAAUGUUUAAGAUGUCUCAUUUAUGCUAGAAAUAAUUUUUAUGAAAUUUUAGUUUAUGCUUUUCAUAUUGACCGAAUUUAAUAAUAUUUUUUUUAUUUAAAUC
Jatropha curcas is the source of this 583-nucleotide non-coding RNA. The record is from RefSeq and is a predicted model, not a curated record. Lineage: Eukaryota; Viridiplantae; Streptophyta; Magnoliopsida; Malpighiales; Euphorbiaceae.